RNAcentral lists this ribosomal RNA (253 nucleotides) under uncultured bacterium. RNAcentral's name for it is "partial 16S ribosomal RNA". It matches the Rfam family "Archaeal small subunit ribosomal RNA", at positions 474 to 727 of the family's 1478-position model. The record is from RNAcentral.
UACCAGCACCCCGAGUGGUCGGGACGUUUAUUGGGCCUAAAGCAUCCGUAGCCGGUUCUACAAGUCUUCCGUUAAAUCCAGCUGCUUAACAGAUGGGCUGCGGAAGAUACUAUGGAGCUAGGAGGCGGGAGAGGCAAGCGGUACUCGAUGGGUAGGGGUAAAAUCCGUUGAUCCAUUGAAGACCACCAGUGGCGAAGGCGGCUUGCCAGAACGCGCUCGACGGUGGGGGAUGAAAGCUGGGGGAGCAAACCGG